Molecule: non-coding RNA, 92 nt
Organism: Acanthosepion pharaonis
Lineage: Eukaryota; Metazoa; Mollusca; Cephalopoda; Sepiida; Sepiidae
Source: the annotation of a GenBank genome assembly
CACGUUGAAAUAUCGGUUCUCGUAUGAUCACCGACGUUAAGCAACGUCGAGCCUUGUCGGUACCUAAAUGAGUGACCACUUGGGAAUACCAG